UUCUAAUUGGGCGUAAAGAGAGUGCAGGCGGUUUUCUAAGUCUGAUGUGAAAGCCUUCGGCUUAACCGGAGAAGUGCAUCGGAAACUGGAUAACUUGAGUGCAGAAGAGGGUAGUGGAACUCCAUGUGUAGCGGUGGAAUGCGUAGAUAUAUGGAAGAACACCAGUGGCGAAGGCGGCUACCUGGUCUGCAACUGACGCUGAGACUCGAAAGCAUGGGUAGCGAACAGGAUUAGAUACCCUGGUA
RNAcentral lists this ribosomal RNA (245 nucleotides) under Xanthomonas citri pv. citri. RNAcentral describes it as "partial 16S ribosomal RNA". It matches the Rfam family "Bacterial small subunit ribosomal RNA", at positions 551 to 792 of the family's 1533-position model. The record is from RNAcentral. Lineage: Bacteria; Pseudomonadati; Pseudomonadota; Gammaproteobacteria; Lysobacterales; Lysobacteraceae.